This 8197-nucleotide long non-coding RNA is filed under the name Ananas comosus (pineapple). RNAcentral describes it as "long non-coding RNA (ACOM_LNC017442)". The record is from RNAcentral. Lineage: Eukaryota; Viridiplantae; Streptophyta; Magnoliopsida; Poales; Bromeliaceae.
UUCCAAAAUGUGUUUUUACAAAACAGAUCCCACGAAUGAUCUGCCUCCAGUGGCUUUAGCUCAAACAUACGGUUCUCGUUUGCUAAUAGAGCUACAUCGCGAAUCCUUGUUGUGAGAACUAUUCUACUCUUGCAAUUACUAUUCAGAAGUGCAUCUUUUAUAUUGUCCAUUACAUUAGUACUCCAAACAUCAUCCAAAAUGAGUAAAUACUUUCUACACUGCAAGUGAGUGCGGAUAGUCUCAACCAAGCUUCUAUAAUCCAGGGUAUCAUUGUUGUUAGGUGCUUUCCUUUUCUCACGACCUUCCCUACAUAACUCUUUUAAGAUCUGUCUAAGCAAAUCAUGAGUUUCGUAACUCUGAGAUACAGCAACCCAGGCACAAGCAUCAAAGGUAGCUUUGAUGAUUUUGUACACAUGAGUUACGAGAGUUGUCUUCCCUAGACCACCCAUCCCCAAUACUGAGAUUAUCAUGGGCUGUUGUUGCUGCUCAUCCUCAUCUUUUAACCAUCCAAGCAACAAGUCCCUGUACUUGUCAAUACCCACGAUGUCAUCCUCCUUGACAAAAUGUGCUAAUUCUGCACGACUCUUGCUACAGCCAACAACUAUUCGAGGUUUUGCUUCACUUUCCAUUCCUCUUGUAUCAUAUCGUGUCCUUCUCUCCAUUAUCUUUUGGAGGUCAAUUUUGAUAUCUUUAAGUUUCUUGCUAAGGUGAUGCCAAGAUUUUAUAUUUCUGUACCUCUUGAUUGCUGUCAGUAGAACCCCUCAUUGCUCCUCGCUCAGCUUAUACGUGAACUCAUCUAUAAUAUCCUCAAUGUCGAAAGCCAAGUCUCUUGUUUGUUUUAUAAUGAUUUUUGUGCUCUCAUCCUUCUCUUUUAGUCUUUCUGCGAUCCGUAGGAAGGCUUGCAUGAUCUCAAGCUCAUCCUUAAUGUCACUUAUAUCCUUCAUGAGUUCUUUCAUUGCUAACAUCCCUGUUAGUAAUAGUGAUGCUGCUGAUUUAGUUGUUUCAAUAGCUAAAGCAGCACCUAUCUUUAGGACUAAUGAGCUUAUCACAGCCUCCACCAUAGGAAUUUCCUACAAAGUGAGCCUGGAAUCAAUAAUCUUUCCAAACUACUAUGUCUUUUUAGAUGCACCGCUAGCAAAAAUAAUUAUUGUUUUAACAUUCCUAAGAUUCUAGGCAAUUCUGUAGUGUAUCAAACAAACAUUUGUUAGAAUCCCUCAGUUAAAAGGAAGAAAUGCCAGUAACAGUUUGUAGUCUGUCAUAACAAAGAACAAUAACUUGUUUGAGAUUCAAUUUAACAAAAUUUUGAGAUAAAAGAUUCAUCAUAAUUAGUCAUACUGAACUCGACCUCAAUGUAUAUUUCUAGAGCAAGUUGUGGAAAAGUCCUUUAGAGGAGUGUGAAAUCAAUAAAGAGUUGGAAACUAAAUGAAUCUACUGCUAGUCGCCGAGUUGACGAUAUCGUGUUAAGAGUGAUUAUAAAUUAUUCUACAAUUAACAAUUAUAAGUUGAGUUUGUUUUGAAGCCCUCUUCUUGUUCAUAAUUAAGUUAAUUUAUAUCAGGACUAUAAGUCAUUUGAGCAAGAAACUAUUAGUGCUUCUUCAAAUAGUUUUGUUUUGAUAGCAAUAUAAGAACUUAAUUUUAGACUCAUGAAACUCACGUAUUUCUAAUAUGUUAAAUUUUAUUGCCUCGACAUUCAUAGUUUCAUACUGCCUAUUAUUGGACCAAAAUCUAAAAGUUCUAUUUCAACUUCUGUGAUUACAAACUUUUGAGAUAAAUGAUUCAUUAUAACUAAUCAUACUGGACUCAACCUUAAUGUAUAUUUGUAGAGCAAGAUGUGGAAAAGUCCUUUAGAGGUGUAUGAAAUCAAUAUAGAGUUGGAAAGUAAAUGAAUUUGCUGCUAGUCAGUGAGUAGAGGGAAUUGUAUUAAGAGUGAUUGUAAAUUAUUCUAUAAUUAACAAUUAUAAAUCGAGUUUCUUUUGAAGCCUCUUUCUUGUUCAUAAUUAAGUUAAUAUAUAUGAGGACUAUAAAUCAUUUGAGCAAGAAACUAUAUAUUAGUGCUUCUUCAAAUAGUUUUGUUUUGAUAGCAAUAUAAGAACUUAAUUUUAGACUCACGAAACUCCCGUAUUUCUAAUAUGUUAUGUUUUAUUGCUUCGACAUUCAUACUGCCAAUUAUUGGAUCAGAAUCUAAAAGUUCUAUUUUAACUUUUUUGAUUUGUAUAAACGAAGCGGGUAGUGUGCUACCUAUCUCUCUCUCUCUCUCUCUCUCAAAANAAAAAAAAAAAAAAAAAAAAAAAAGAUUUGUACUGCAAUUUGUAAAAGUUCUUCAUUACAAGUUUUGGCAUUAACUGAAUUUUUUUUUUCGAAAUAAUUAUUAUCUUUGUGAGUUCAGCAGGAAUAUUUCUUAAAGUGAAAUGACUUUGAUACUUUUUUUUUUUGAUGAUGAGGCAUUUAAAUAAACGUCCUGUAUCGUAAAUAUGAUCUAGAAUAUUUGCAUGGUUUAGAAACUGAAUUUUUUUUUUUUUUUUGUCGUUAUUAUUUAUCUAGUGAUCGAAUGGUUUCAAAAUUGAGAGUUUAACAAGAAAAAUGGGACACUUUCUUCUUGUUUAAUAACAAAGAACAAUCAGAAUUAGCUGAGCAUUUAAUAACAAAUAAAUUCUUCUUAACUAUAUAGAUCAAGAUCUACAACCAAGAUUGCGAAUUUAAGAUUAUUUUUAAUUAUAUUUUUAGAAGGUAGCUAAUUUUGACCUUUCAUAUUAUGCCCACUUGGCUAGCCAGAAAAUAAAUUUAAAAAAUCACUUUUUCUAGAAAGUUUAUGUAUAAUCUUGCAUGGUAUUGAUCAUCAAUUUAGGUACUCAAUUAUCAACAAUAAAGUGAGAGUACUUUAUGAGGUAAAAUUAUUCUAGCUAGCUCAAUUAUUAUCGAUCUCUUGUUAUCUUGUUUCCAAAAUCAAGUGAAUCCAAACAAUAUAUUAAACAGCAAAGCUAGACAUACUAUACUAGAUCUCAGUACCUUACGGAAUCAACUAGUUGAUAGCAAAGAGAAUAAAAAUUAAUUAAAAAGAACAAGUAGAAGAAGAUGCACAACUAACCACAGAUCCAAAAGGGAGAUAUAUUGAAGAGGGAGCUGCUCCAAAAUAAUUAAUCUGAAAUUUAACUAGAGAAAAUGCUGCAAUCAAAGAAGCGCUUGAAGUAGAUGUUUUAGGGAUUGAUGAGUGAGAGAUGAGGAUGAACUAUAUACACAAGAAACUGGGAGGAAGUGACUUGGACACUGCAGCUACCAAGAACUUCCCUCUUUGACUUUUCCCAUCCGUACUUGGUUGUAGUGUGCUAUAUUAUAUGGAUUUAUAGGGGCUCCUUUUGAUUAUUUGCCUUUUACUACUAUUCAAAUUUUUUAAAUUUAUUCUAAAAUUACUAAAAUACCUAUUUAAAGUCUAAUCUCAUUAAUAAAUGGCCUUUUUGCAUAAAAAAUCAACUAGUCUCGAGAUUUUGUAAAAGUGUGCUACUAUUUUGAAUUUUACAAAUUCAACUCGAAUUUGUAGAAAACUGAUCAAAAUAUUCUUAUUCCUUUUCCUCUCUCUCUCUCUCUCUCUCUCUCUCUCUCUCUCUCACUCUCUUUUUCUCUCCAACCCUCCUCGCCUCCUCCACCGCUUCUGCGACCCUGGACGACGGUAAGAAGGACGUUGCCGCCUCCUCUUUCUCUGCCUCCGCCACCGUCUCCGCCACUGCUGGUGCCGGCACCGACACCGGCGCUGAAGGAGGAGGAAUUGGAGCAGGCGCGGGUGAGGACGGAGCAAACGAAGGCGAUGAGUUCGUGGCCGAGGUGGUGCUCGCUGUCGCACGUGAUGGUGAGAACGAAGAUGUGCCAGCGCUUCUCCAAGGAGCAAAAAAAGAUGCAGAGGGUAGAAAAAAAAAAGAAUAAAAAUAAAAAUUAAAAAAUAUAUUUUUCUUGAAGGACCAUUAUGUAUCAUCGCUACUACAGGAAAGAUAAAGAAUCAGAGAAGAAGGAAAAAAGAAUAUCAAGUUGCACUGUACUUUUUUGAAACGAAAGUUAUACUUUUUAAGCAAAGUUAUAUUGUUUAAGCGAAAAUUGUACUCUAUAGCCUCCUCGUUGUGGAGGCCUACUGCCUGAUUAUCGUUUUGAAGCGGCCCCUCCUGGCCUUCCUCCUCGCGUUCAUCCGCUCCUCCGGGGCUCCUACCCGCUCAAUCAAGGACGGGCUCAAGGCGCUCUUUGGCGUUGCACUCUACGUGCUCAACCUCUCUGUGUUGGUCAAGCUCGGCACCAUGCCCGCGCUCUUCUCCUUUGUCGUCAUUCUGCAUUCGUCGCGCUCUACCCGCUCAACUGUCCCUUGCUGGCCGAGCUCAGCGCUAUGCACGCACUUUUCUCCCAUGUCGUCAUUCUGCAUUUGUCGCACUCUACCUGCUCAACUGCCUCCCGUUGGUCAAGCUCGGCAUCGUGCCCGCGCUUUUCUCCCUCGUCGUCAUUAUGCAUUCGAAAAGUUUUAGUAUGUUGUUAUAUAAUUUUAUAUUUUGUUUUAGGGUAAAUUACACUUUUGGUCCUCAAACUAUGAGGUACGUGACAUUUUAGUUCUGAAAUUUUAAUUUAUUAUAAUUUUUGGCUCGAAUUAUGCGAUACAUUACAUUUUAGUCCUCGAACUUUAAUUAGGUAUAAUAUCUGGCUCGACCUUUAAGACUUGUGAUAUUUUAGUUCUUGAACUUGUUGAAUUAUUAUUCUCACAGCCAAAUUUUUUUAAAAAAUAAGUAUGGAUAAAUUAUUUAUAUUCAACUAAUAUAGUAUUUUAAUUGUUAUUACAUCAUCAAGGACGAUAUACUACAAUUCAGAAAGUUCGAGAACUAAAAUAUCACAUGCUUAUAAUUUAAGCUAGAAAUUAUAACUAAUUAAAAUUUGAGGACAAAAGUAUCACUGACCUUAUAGUUCGAACGACAAGUUAUAACAAAUUAAACUUUGAGGACGAAAGUGUCACGCGUCUCAUGGUUUGGAGGCGAAAAGUGUAAUUUACCGUUUGUUUUACCAUAAAAAAUUAUUAUUAAAUAGAAUAGUAAAAUAUUAUAAUUCACAAAUUAUACAAAAUGCUAAAUUUUGUAGGUCAGAUUAUGUAAAAUAUGCGCUGACGCGCUUUCGCUGCUGAGUCCUGAAAUAUUGUUAAAAUCAAAGAAUAAAAAAAGGACGCGGAGAAGACUCGCAUGACCCACGCGAGGCGUCUCCGCGUAGGGACCGAGUGAUGCUACCAGCUAUGAACAUAUACUCCCUGCACCUGGUGUACUUCUAUAUAUAUAUAUAUAUAUAUAUAUAUAUAUAUAUAUAUAUAUAUAUAUAAUAUUUGGUAAUCAAUAUUUUAAAAUUAAGAAAGGAGCUGGGAGACAAUGUACUUUAUAUCAGGGAUAGGUGGAUGGUUAUGAAAGGAUUGCAGAAUACGAGGCGUAGCCUUCGUGAAUUGGCUGCGCGCUGGUGGGUUAUUUGGAAGGCUAGAAACGAUUUGAUUUUUAAAAACAUCCAACUAGAUGCCCUAGUGGCGGUGUAUAGAUUGAAGGAGUUGCUGAAAUUCUGGAAAAUAUGUGCACAAACUUCUAGACGCUCUAUCAUCGUGUGAUUUUUUUUUUCUCUGUUACGCCCCUCUUUUGAGGCUCUGGAUGCCUCAUCCCGGUAGCCUAAUUCAUCUCUUUAAUGAAUGAGCAGGUAGCGUGCUAUCUUUUCUCCAAAAAAAAAUAUUUUAAAAUUAAGAUCUAAUAAUUUUGUUGAUAGUUAAUAGAAAUUCCGAGCACAUAGUAAUUAAUGACUUUGGAAAUUCGUAAUUUCGUGCUCAAAACUCCAAUUUCGAUAAAAUUUGGUUUAAUUAGAUGAUCGUCUCAGAGUAUAUUUUGUAUAGCAGGACUUUUCGUUUUUGAAAGUUAUGAAAAAUAUUACAUAAAAUAAUGACUUGAUUGAGAGAUGAUUGUCUUUUUCUGAAUCUCAUAGAUUUUAUCAAAGAAAUUUUAAAUCCACCAAAAAUGCACCAAGUUAACAACUAGACCUUACAAAUAAGCGCCCACGAGUAUUAAAAACCCUCGGGAGCUAAGAAAAAUAAAUUCACUAAAAUUGACUUCCUUUUGUUCAAAUAAAAAUAAAUCCAGAUCGCGCCAUUAUUACAAAAUAGAGUAAUAAAAUACGAAAUAGGCUAUUGUACUAUUCAUAGCACCAAGUUAUUGGUGUUGUUAGAAUUUCGGCAUGGCUGAAUAGAUGUAGAGUUAGAAUAAUAGUGGUCUCAAAGGGUUGAAUGGAUGGUUUGUUGAAUAGUAUGGUCUAACGGGUGAAAAUAAUCAAAUGGGUGGAUCUAACGGCGAAAAACUUGGUAGCACCAACGGAGGGGGUAAACUUGUAAUUUAAAUAAUUGCAAGAUUACCUGCCAGCAGUAAUACGAGAUACUCUCAUUUGCUAAUAUUUUCGGAGUAAUCUUAUAUCAUUUGUAAUGCUAAUUUGCCAAUUAGAUUAUAGACGGGAUAACCCAAAUAUAAUAAUCUUGACAAAAUUAUCUAUAAUUCUGACAGGAUAAUCCGAACUAGAUAGACCCUUUUUAAAUUAUGAAAGUGAUAAAUUUUGUUAAUGUUGGGAUCAAAAAAUUUUAAAAUUUAAAAUUCAAAUUGAGAAUAAAAUUUAACGCAGGCGGCGCUUGCAGGUAAGGAAAUGUAUCUUCAUCCAAUUCUGACUCAAAAAGUUCUAAUUUGGUUAGGUUUGAUAGAGACCCAAAGGAUGCGGCAAGCUCAGGGAAUGAGGUUUUGUCUAAUUUACAGUCCAGCCAUAAUUCUUUAAUUGGCAGAGGUAGGCGUAGGGUGCCCAACUGCUGUAAUUCUUGCCCAAAUACACUUUCGACAGAUAAAUUGCUAAGAUGGUUCAUCUUUGUAAGACUAUUCCACAAGUCUGCACAGUGAUGGGUUCUUACGCCGGUUAUCGCAAAUGUCCGCAACUCGGUCAAAGCUUCUACAUUCCGCACAAUCUUCCUAGUUGCUUCAAUAGAUCCUAAAGUCUGCAAGCCCUUCAAGCGCCAUAUUCCAACAGGUGCCUUGAUGCCCUGGCCAACAUAUUCUGAUAAAACUAGGUGUCCCAACUUAUGAAGCCUCGUUAUUCCCUUCAGCAGCUUUCCUAUUUCACUUUCAUCUGUAUUUAAUAUUUGCAGAUUUUGUAGCUUCCCGAUUGAUCUUGGAAGCUCCUUAAUUUUUGUUUCUCACAAACCAAGAUAAUGCAGGUUGAAGAGGUUACAGAUUUCACUCGGAACUUUCUCAAUUGGCGCUCCUUGUAGUUCCAAGACACGUAAAAAUUUUGAUGAUCUUAAGACCGACUUCAGUAAAUCAUUCCUCAUGGAAUUGUUGAAAACAAGUACUGAACGCAAAUGAGAUUUGUCUUCAGUACAAUAUUCAGUUAUAUCGCUUAGGAUUGACAAGCGUCGUGCUUUGUAUCCCUGCAAUAUUGUCCUUGAAUGCUCACAAACCAUGCAGAAACUUAACUCCUUUGACUCCGAACGAGCGAGGACUCGAAUGAUGUCAUGCAUUCGAUAUGCAUAAACUCUACCAACUUCGUUCCACUCAGCCACUUGUAGUAGACAGCGAUGAACAAGUUCGUUAAGGUAGUCCUCGGCCACUUCCUCCAUCAUUCGUUCUCUUUCUUCAAUGAACCCUUCAGCCACCCAAAGCCUUAUGAGCCUGUCACUUUCAAUUGUAUAGUCUUCCGGAAAGCUUGAACAAUAUAAGAAGCAGUUUUGAAGGUAAUGGGGAAGAUCGUCCAAACUAAGUUUCAAAAUGUCAUGUACUUUGCCAUGGAGCUUCGAUUCGUUGUUAGUUAGAUACCACUCAAGAUCUUUGUAAACCUUCUCCCAUUCAGAACUGGUUUGUUCUCGAAAUGAUAAGAGACGAGCUAUAGAUACGAUAGCAAGGGGCAAGGCACCGCACUUCUCGACAAUUCUUUUAGCACAUUGUUCUAAAGGCGGUGGGCAAAUCUUGUUUGCACUUUUCCAAAAUGCGUUUUUACAAAACAGAUCCCACGAAUCAUCUGCUUGCAGUGGCUUUAGCUCAAACAUAUGAUUCUCGUUUGCUAAUAGAGCUACAUCGCGAAUCCUUGUUGUGAGAACUAUUCUACUCUUGCUAUUACUAUUCAGAAGUGCAUUCUUUAUAUUGUCCAGUACAUCAGUACUCCAAACAUCAUCUAGAAUGAG